RNAcentral lists this transfer RNA (75 nucleotides) under Saccharopolyspora thermophila. RNAcentral describes it as "tRNA-Thr". It matches the Rfam family "tRNA". Rfam says of the family: Transfer RNA (tRNA) molecules are approximately 80 nucleotides in length. Lineage: Bacteria; Bacillati; Actinomycetota; Actinomycetes; Pseudonocardiales; Pseudonocardiaceae. The record is from RNAcentral.
GCCGCUGUAGCUCAGUUGGUAGAGCGCCCGCCUUGUAAGCGGAUGGUCAGGGGUUCGAGCCCCCUCAGCGGCUCC